Molecule: non-coding RNA, 30 nt
Filed under: Homo sapiens (human)
Lineage: Eukaryota; Metazoa; Chordata; Mammalia; Primates; Hominidae
Source: RNAcentral
UCCAGGUUCUUCAGGGGAAUCAACCUUUGC